Molecule: ribosomal RNA, 484 nt
Filed under: uncultured bacterium
Lineage: Bacteria
Description: partial 16S ribosomal RNA
Rfam family: Bacterial small subunit ribosomal RNA
Source: RNAcentral
AUUGAACGCUGGCGGCAGGCCUAACACAUGCAAGUCGAGCGGAUGAAGGGAGCUUGCUCCUGGAUUCAGCGGCGGACGGGUGAGUAAUGCCUAGGAAUCUGCCUGGUAGUGGGGGAUAACGUCCGGAAACGGGCGCUAAUACCGCAUACGUCCUGAGGUAGAAAGUGGGGGAUCUUCGGACCUCACGCUAUCAGAUGAGCCUAGGUCGGAUUAUCUAGUUGGUGGGGUAAAGGCCUACCAAGGCGACGAUCCGUAACUGGUCUGAGAGGAUGAUCAGUCGCACUGGAACUGAGACACGGUCCAGACUCCUACGGGAGGCAGCAGUGGGGAAUAUUGGACAAUGGGCGAAAGCCUGAUCCAGCCAUGCCGCGUGUGUGAAGAAGGUCUUCGGAUUGUAAAGCACUUUAAGUUGGGAGGAAGGGCAGUAAGUUAAUACCUUGCUGUUUUGACGUUACCAACAGAAUAAGCACCGGCUAACUUCGUG